RNAcentral lists this ribosomal RNA (765 nucleotides) under Streptococcus agalactiae. RNAcentral's name for it is "bacterial SSU rRNA". It matches the Rfam family "Bacterial small subunit ribosomal RNA", at positions 1 to 750 of the family's 1533-position model. The record is from RNAcentral. Lineage: Bacteria; Bacillati; Bacillota; Bacilli; Lactobacillales; Streptococcaceae.
UUAAUGAGAGUUUGAUCCUGGCUCAGGACGAACGCUGGCGGCGUGCCUAAUACAUGCAAGUAGAACGCUGAGGUUUGGUGUUUACACUAGACUGAUGAGUUGCGAACGGGUGAGUAACGCGUAGGUAACCUGCCUCAUAGCGGGGGAUAACUAUUGGAAACGAUAGCUAAUACCGCAUAAGAGUAAUUAACACAUGUUAGUUAUUUAAAAGGAGCAAUUGCUUCACUGUGAGAUGGACCUGCGUUGUAUUAGCUAGUUGGUGAGGUAAAGGCUCACCAAGGCGACGAUACAUAGCCGACCUGAGAGGGUGAUCGGCCACACUGGGACUGAGACACGGCCCAGACUCCUACGGGAGGCAGCAGUAGGGAAUCUUCGGCAAUGGACGGAAGUCUGACCGAGCAACGCCGCGUGAGUGAAGAAGGUUUUCGGAUCGUAAAGCUCUGUUGUUAGAGAAGAACGUUGGUAGGAGUGGAAAAUCUACCAAGUGACGGUAACUAACCAGAAAGGGACGGCUAACUACGUGCCAGCAGCCGCGGUAAUACGUAGGUCCCGAGCGUUGUCCGGAUUUAUUGGGCGUAAAGCGAGCGCAGGCGGUUCUUUAAGUCUGAAGUUAAAGGCAGUGGCUUAACCAUUGUACGCUUUGGAAACUGGAGGACUUGAGUGCAGAAGGGGAGAGUGGAAUUCCAUGUGUAGCGGUGAAAUGCGUAGAUAUAUGGAGGAACACCGGUGGCGAAAGCGGCUCUCUGGUCUGUAACUGACGCUGAG